GUCAUCAAGGCGCGUCCUCAACUAGAGGGUUUGUUUUGAUUCCACGGCAGACAGUAGCGAGUAGCGACCGUAGCGACUGACGAUGGCAGACCAAAGUGGUCCAUGGCGUACUGAAACUGCACCAUUCAGUCCGAUUAGGGGACUCAUCUCGGACUCAGACUCACAGAGUUACCCUCCUCUGGAGCCUCAGGAAGACCUCCAGACUGUUGGCCACCAACUGCACCAUUCAGUCCGACAAGGGGACCCGAUUCGGCCUCGGAAGCCAAGUGGUCCCGCUCCCCUGGAUGAUUCUCAGGACCUCCAGACCGAUGGCAACCAACCACACCACUUAGUCCGAUUAGGGGACCCGUUUCGGACUCAGACGCGAAGUUGUCCCGCUACUCUGGAGCUCCGGGAAGACCUCCAGACCGUUGGCACCCAACCGCACAACUCAGUCCGAUUACGGGACCCAUUUCGGACUCAGACGCGACGUUGUCCCGCUACUCUGGAGCUACAGGAAGACCUCCAGACCGUUGGCACCCAACCGCACAACUCAGUCCGAUUACGGGACCCAUUUCGGACUCAGACGCGACGUUGUCCCGCUACUCUGGAGCUACAGGAAGACCUCCAGACCGUUGGCACCCAACCGCACCACUCAGUCCGAUUAGGGGACCCAUUUCGGACUCAGACGCGACGUUGUCCCGCUACUCUGGAGCUACAGGAAGACCUCCAGACCGUUGGCACCCAACCGCACCAUUCAGUCCGAUUAGGGGACCCAUUUCGGCCUCAGACGCUACGUUGUCCCGCUACUCUGUUUGUAAUGCUCAUACACCUUUCUUAUACUCAGUGGGACCACUGUCCUUCAACAUGGGACCUCAAAACGGUAUCACACGAAGCCCAUAAAAUAACAGGAGCCAGCAGCAUACUGCUCAAUUUAUUAAACUGAGGGGGGAGAACAACGAGCUCUUCACCGAGGUGAAACAUUCAGCGAGUGUGGCUUGGGGGACAAUUCUGGAGAAAAUAGGCCUGCAGUGGAAGGUGACUCCCCUGCAGGCAAAGAAAAAAAUGGGAUAAUUAAAAAAAUAUACAUAAAGAUUGCAAGUAUCCAGGGUCAGGAGAGGGGGUAGGUGGGAAACCCACUGCUGCCACUUGGCCCUGGUUUGUCCUCAUGGAUGAGGUAUUGGGACAGAGGCAUUCCACAAACCCCCCUGUCCUAAUUGCCUCCAUCCCUGAGAACACACCAGGGCCAAGUACAGCAGUGGUGGAUCAGGAGGUGGAGGACAAGGAUGAGGAAGAAAGACAGCGGCCAAGGUCCAGAAAGAGGGACAGAGAGGACGAAAUGUUCCAAUUGAUCAAAGAGGACAUGAGGCUAAAUAGGGAGGCAGAGGAGAGAAGAGCCCAGGAGAGAAGGGAGAGGAUGGAUCGAUUUUUUUCAAUUUUGGAG
Molecule: long non-coding RNA, 1423 nt
Organism: Gadus morhua (Atlantic cod)
Lineage: Eukaryota; Metazoa; Chordata; Actinopteri; Gadiformes; Gadidae
Source: Ensembl